UACGUAGGGUGCAAGCGUUAAUCGGAAUUACUGGGCGUAAAGCGUGCGCAGGCGGUUCUAUAAGACAGAUGUGAAAUCCCCGGGCUCAACCUGGGAACUGCAUUUGUGACUGCAUCGCUAGAGUACGGCAGAGGGGGAUGGAAUUCCGCGUGUAGCAGUGAAAUGCGUAGAUAUGCGGAGGAACACCGAUGGCGAAGGCAAUCCCCUGGGCCUGCACUGACGCUCAUGCACGAAAGCGUGGGGAGCAAACAGG
This 253-nucleotide ribosomal RNA is filed under the name uncultured bacterium. RNAcentral describes it as "partial 16S ribosomal RNA". It matches the Rfam family "Bacterial small subunit ribosomal RNA", at positions 524 to 776 of the family's 1533-position model. The record is from RNAcentral.